UGCCAGCAGCCGCGGUAAGACGGAGGGCGCAAGCGUUGUUCGGAAUUACUGGGCGUAAAGCGCGGGCAGGUGGUCUGUUAAGUCUUCUGUGAAACUCCGGGGCUCAACCCCGGACAUGCAGGAGAUACUGGCAGACUUGAGACCGGUAGAGGCUAGCGGAAUUCCUGGUGUAGCGGUGGAAUGCGUAGAUAUCAGGAGGAACACCGAUGGCGAAGGCAUCUCUCUGGGUCGAUAUUGACGCUGAGGCGCGAAGGCGUGGGUAGCAAACAGGAUUAGAUA
This 279-nucleotide ribosomal RNA is filed under the name uncultured bacterium. Its description in RNAcentral is "partial 16S ribosomal RNA". It matches the Rfam family "Bacterial small subunit ribosomal RNA", at positions 506 to 784 of the family's 1533-position model. The record is from RNAcentral.